CCAAUAGCGUAUAUUAAAGUUGUUGCAGUUAAAAAGCUCGUAGUUGAAUUUCGGGAUCAGUUCGCUGGUCGUGCCUCUGGUAUGUACUGGUGUUACUGGUUCCUCCCUUCUGACGAACUGUCCUGUCAUUUAUUUGGUGUGGCAGGGAAUCAGGACUGUUACUUUGAAAAAAUUAGAGUGUUUAAAGCAGGCUCGCGCUUGAAUACAUUAGCAUGGAAUAAUGAAAUAGGACGUUCGAUCCUAUUUUGUUGGUUUCUAGGAUUGACGUAAUGAUUAAUAGGGGUAGUUGGGGGCAUUAGUAUUCAAUUGUCAGAGGUNAAAUUCUUGGAUUUAUUGAAGACUAACUACUGCGAAAGCAUUUGCCAAGGAUGUUUUCAUUAAUCAAGAACGAAAGUUAGGGGAUCGAAGACGAUCAGAUACCGUCGUAGUCUUAACCAUAAACUAUGCCGACUAGGGAUCGGAUGAUGUUAUUUUUAAUGACUCAUUCGGCGCCUUACG
RNAcentral lists this ribosomal RNA (498 nucleotides) under uncultured Glomus. RNAcentral's name for it is "SSU rRNA". It matches the Rfam family "Eukaryotic small subunit ribosomal RNA", at positions 591 to 1092 of the family's 1831-position model. Lineage: Eukaryota; Fungi; Glomeromycota; Glomeromycetes; Glomerales; Glomeraceae. The record is from RNAcentral.